RNAcentral lists this ribosomal RNA (553 nucleotides) under uncultured Nitrososphaerota archaeon. Its description in RNAcentral is "bacterial SSU rRNA". It matches the Rfam family "Archaeal small subunit ribosomal RNA", at positions 325 to 879 of the family's 1478-position model. Lineage: Archaea; Thermoproteati; Nitrososphaerota. The record is from RNAcentral.
ACGGGGUGCAGCAGGCGCGAAACCUUUGCAAUGUGCGCAAGCACGACAAGGUUAAUCCGAGUGUUUCCUGCUAAAGGAAUCUUUUGUUAGUCGUAAAACCACUGAUGAAUAAGGGGUGGGCAAGUUCUGGUGUCAGCCGCCGCGGUAAAACCAGCACCUCAAGUGGUCGGGAGGAUUAUUGGGCCUAAAGCAUCCGUAGCCGGCUCUGCAAGUUUUCGGUUAAAUCCAUUUGCUUAACAAAUGGGCUGCCGAAAAUACUACAUAGCUAGGGAGUGGGAGAGGUAGACGGUAUUCGGUAGGAAGGGGUAAAAUCCCUUGAUCUAUUGAGGAUCACCUAUGGCGAAGGCAGUCUACCAGAACACGUUCGACGGUGAGGGAUGAAAGCUGGGGGAGCAAACCGGAUUAGAUACCCGGGUAGUCCCAGCUGUAAACGAUGCAGACUCGGUGAUGCACUGGCUUGUGGCCAGUGCAGUGCCGCAGGGAAGCCGUUAAGUUUGCCGCCUGGGAAGUACGUACGCAAGUAUGAAACUUAAAGGAAUUGGCGGGGGAGCAC